RNAcentral lists this long non-coding RNA (31266 nucleotides) under Prunus persica (peach). RNAcentral describes it as "long non-coding RNA (PPER_LNC005461)". Lineage: Eukaryota; Viridiplantae; Streptophyta; Magnoliopsida; Rosales; Rosaceae. The record is from RNAcentral.
AUUAAGGACCUUUACACAUUUAUAUAAGAACCUCUAAACCUCAUGCCCUGCCUAUGAAAUAGCAGAAGUACAAGAAGGGAGACUCAAACUCAAAAGAGUUUCCACUCUUGCACCAUCAUGUCCACCACCACCACCCAUAAUGACCUCCCACUACACACCCACAAGCGCUCCCGUCGAACGACCACGAACCGCGUGUUUGCGGUGGUUCACUCGUGUGCCAUCCUAGCCCUUCUCUACCGCCAUGCACUCUCUCUCCUCCACUCCACAUCCCUCACCUCUUUCUUUAUCACCCUUACCUUCCUCAUCUCCGACUCUAUUCUGGCUUUCAUGUACAGCACCGCACAAUCUCCUCGUAUGACACCAAUUUACCGUAAAGAAUUCCCCGAAAACCUGAAAAGGGUUGUCAAAGAAUCGGAUUUCCCAGCGUUAGACAUGAUCAUAUGCACUGCUGAUCCUUUCAAAGAGCCACCAAUGAACGUGGUAAACACUGCCUUAUCGGUCAUGGCUUAUGAUUAUCCGACCGAUAAGGUUUCAGUGUAUGUUUCAGAUGAUGGGGGCUCGGCUCUCACUCUCUUUGCCUUCAUGGAGGCCGCCAGGUUUGCAAGCCACUGGUUACCUUUCUGCAGAGAGAACAGCAUAGUGGAACGCUGCCCUGAAGCUUACUUUGAAACUGAUCAUUCUCGGUUACCUGAAGCUGACAAGAUCAAGGUAAUAUUAUCAUAUUUCAAUUUUGCUUAAUUAUUAACUAUAAAUAUUUUUAUGUAAAUCAAUAUGUAUGGUAGUAAUAUCCUCUUAUCAAGAUUAUAUUGUCACAUAAAUAAGUAUAGUGACGGAUUAUAUCGUGUGAUGAGAUAAGAUCAUAUAAUACUUACGUUAUUAGACUAUGAAUACUGAUUGUUAUAACUUUUUUUGGUUAUACUGUAAUUAGGAUAUUACAUAAAAAGGAGUUUAUAUUUUUGCUCAGAUUGAAAAGGGGACCUUCUUAAUCUUUAGAAAAGCCCCUACCAAAAUUGCUCAUGUAUUCAGUAACACAAAUGGUGACGUCGGCUGCAAUACUAAUUUGUCAUCUUGUUUGGGUUCCUAUCCUCUUCAUAAUGCAUGAGCCAAUGACGGCACAAACAGCCAACACCAAGUUGUAUGGGCAUCGCAUCACAUUCAGGACUGGCCUAAUUAAGCUUGAUUAAUUAUGUUUUGUUCUGAAUCGUGGCACAGAUUAUGUACCAAGGCAUGAAAGUGAUGGUAAACAAUGUAAUUGAAAGAGGCAAAGUUGGCGAUGAAUAUAUAACUGGAGAACGGGAAAGGCUAGCUUUUAGGAAAUGGACAGACGGAUUUACCCGACAAGAUCAUCCCACUAUUAUUCAGGUAUAUUUUUCUAUCCUGACUGGUGGACCACUUUCUCUCACUAUUACAAUCGACAUGAUAAGAGUUUGAUUCUUUCUUCCUUUCUUUUGAAUUUUAAACCAAAAAAAAAAUAAUCUCAAUUUUUACAUAUAUAAAUUCUAAUUGGGACAAUAAUAAUCAUUCUUGUGACUCGUGAGGAACUAAUCACUAACAAUCUUGUAAAAGAAAAAAAAAAGGAAUUAGAAAACUCAAUUAUGUCAUCUCCUAUUACAUAGUUUAAUGUGCUAUAGAUGUCGUGAUAUUUUCUUUGACAAUUCAAAAUCAUCAACUAAUCAACCCUCGUAAUUCAAAAUUAUUCACAGUUUACUCACUAGUUAGCUUUUGAGCGCUCUAUAAGCUUAUAUAUAUAUAUAUGUACUUAAAAGUAUAUAUGUACGUGGAUAGGUUCUUUUGGACAAUAGCGAAGACAGAGACAUCGCAGACAAUUCAAUGCCAAACCUAAUAUACGUCUCUAGAGAGAAAAGCAGGACAUCACACCACAAUUUUAAAGCUGGUGCCCUUAAUGCUCUUGUAAGCUUCCAUACCUUUUCUUUUGGGCUCACGUAACCAUCUCAUUCUCAAAUAAUUAAUUAAUCAUCUUCAUUUCUUCACCAACUAAUUUAUAUUUUUCUGAUGGUGUGUUGUAACAAAAGCUUCGAGUCUCAGCCACCAUGACCAAUGCUCCAAUAGUCUUAACCCUAGACUGUGACAUGUUCUCCAAUGAUCCCCAAACACCUCAUCGUGCCCUUUGUUACUUCUUAGACCCCAAAAUUCAAUCUGAACUAGGGUAUGUGCAGUUUCCUCAACGCUUUCGUGGGAUCGACAAGAGCGACAUGUAUGCAUCUGAAAACAGGCGUUUGUUUGAAAUUAAUCCACAGGGAAUGGAUGGGGUUUUAGGGCCAAAUUAUGUAGGAACUGGGUGUUUUUUCUCAAGAAGAGUUUUCUUUGGCGGCCCAUCAAAGUUUUUACCACCCGAAAACCCCCAACUUGGUCCAAACAAUGUGGUGGACAAGCCCAUUCAGAGUCUAGAGGUUCUAGAAUUGGCACACCAUGUUGCAGCUUGCAACUAUGAGAAAAACUCCAAUUGGGGAUCAAAGGUACACUCUUUCUUUUUGAACGAGUUGUUAUUUCUGCUUCAAAAAAGUCAUCGUGCACUUAGAUUCUAAAACUGAUGAAUUAAGUUAUUAAAUUGCGUAGAUUGGCGUGAGAUAUGGUUCGCUGGUGGAGGACUACUUUACUGGUUAUCAUUUGCAGUGUGAGGGGUGGAAGUCUAUAUUUUGCAAUCCAGAUAAGCCAGCAUUUUCUGGGGAUUCCCCAAUCAACCUUAUUGAUGUUUUAAAUCAAACCAAGCGAUGGGCCAUAGGCCUUCUUGAGGUGUGUUUCUCUAGGUAUAGCCCAAUUACAUUUGGCAUAAAAUCCAUGGGCCCGCGCAUGGGCCUUGCUUAUUGUUAUGGAUUUUGGGCCAUUUGGUCAAUUCCAAUCACUGCAUAUGCCUUCUUACCCCAACUAGCUCUUCUCAAUGGACUCACUAUAUUUCCAAAGGUAACCCUUUUCACAAUUUCACUUUCUAAAUAAUUAGUAAUUUAAUUUUAAUAAUCAAACAAUUUGAUAUAUCAUGUCGCAAUGUUAGAAUGUUAAUUUGACCUAAUUAAGAUUCAUAUUAACAUUUUGACAACAUCUCAUAAGUGUCUAAUGUAGUAAUCUAAAUAUACAAGGGUCGGACAAGAUGUGCACUAAGAUUGAAGUACUUAUUGCAGGUUUCAGAGCCAUGGUUUCUCUUAUAUGUGUUUGUUUUCAUCGGAGCCUACUUUGAAGAUCUUCUAGAUUUUCACUCAAUUGGAGUAACAUUCCAAAAGUGGUGGAGUGACCAAAGGAUGUGGCUGAUUAAGGGACUCUCAAGCUUCUUGUUUGGAUCCAUUGAGUUCUUCUUCAAGUCCUUUGGCAUUGCCACACUUGGGUUCAAUGUGACAAGCAAAGUCCUUGACGAGGACCAAAGCAAAAGGUACGAACAAGGAAGUAUGGAGUUUGGAGUCCCAUCACCUUUGUUUGUGCCCCUAACAACGGCUGCCGUUGUCAACUUGGCUGCCUUUGCUUGGGGGCAUGUAGAGGUUUUCAGAGGCAGCAAUGGCCUGGAGGGACUGUUGAUGCAGAUGUUCAUAGCUGGGUUUGGGAUAGCAAAUUGCAUGCCAAUUUAUGAAGGCAUAAUUAGGAGUGAUAAAGGAAAAAUUCCUACAAAAAUUACUUUAGUUUCAACAUUUAUAGCGUUUGCUCUUUAUGCAGCAGCUUAUGUUACUCUUAGGAACUGAACCCCAAAAACUGUAUUAAUAAAUUUUGAAUUGGAUAAAUUGUAUUAUAGUUUAUGUUAAGAGAAAGCGAUUUCGAAUAAAACAUUGUUAGAGCCCUACAGUUUUUUAUAAUGAAUUUGGAGUCCCUAUGAGAGAUCCCAAAAGCUUGACGACAAAGCUGUGGACCAUUGUUUUGUUUAAUCAUUGGCCUCAAUGCUAAGUUUUCUAAGAGAAGAAAUGUUCUACUAUCUCCACUCAGUCUUCUUUGCAAAAGAAAGUUGGUCGCCGCAAUUGUGUUAGGUUUCCUUUUAGGUCUUUUGGGAAACUUCUUUGUACAUUAAUAUAAAGAAUGAAAAACUUAAUGGGUCAUUUUAAAUUUAAGUGGGAUGUAUAUGGACCUACAUAUAUUGAAGGUACUAGAUCAUGAGGCUAACGAUUUUUGCCAGAUUUAUGUUGCAAGGUAAAUGCUUCUUUUCUUUAAAUAAGUCUAACAAUGCAAGUGCCUGCAGUGAAUCCAAUUCCAAAUAUCAGGCUUGGAAAAGAACUACUACAAAAAGUGAAAAAGACGACCAGAAAACAACGACGGUCUAAGUGAAAACCGUCGUGGUUUAUAAAAAGACGACGGUUCUAAAAACACCGUCGUGUAAUACAACCUUAGACAACUAAAAAAUGGAGUUUCAAAUGGCUGUUCAAAAACAACGACGUACAUAAUUAAACAACCGACGUCUAUUUGAAACAGAUUUCCUCAGUGUAAAAUCAAUGCCAACAAAGAACGGCAGAAGUUAUGAAUCGACCGACGUAGAAAGUAAAGACGACGAUUUCAAUAAAAACUGCCGUUUUUACUCAUAAAAUAACACGACGAGGUUUUCGUAUAAGACGCCGUAUAAUUACAAACAAAUCCACGGCUUUAAAAUACAAAAUAUCGCCGUAUUAAAUUAAUUUACAACGACGGAAAAUAUAAAUAUAUCGACGUCAUUCUCGUAUAGUUCUACUACGUUAUCUUUAAAUCGUACAAUAAAAUUUAUCGUCGUAUUUAUUCAUUUUAUACGUCGUACCUUUAAUUUUAACGGUCGUCUUAAUAAGAAUUUUUGUUAACAAUUUUUUUCUUUGAUUUUCUUAUCCUACGUCGGUAGAUCUACUUAAUGACAAGAAUUGAAAUAACCACGACGGUUUAUAUAGAACACCGCCGACAUAAUCAGUUUUGUCUGAGAUCCCAAGGGUUACGAAAUCUUACCAGAUGGAACUCUGUUCCACAUCAUAAUCUUAACAGAUGACACAGAUUUGCAAAUAUUGCGUCGUGUUAGUUUACAAAUUCUAGAACAUUAAUUUCCCUCAUUUUAAAUUUCCUCGGGAAAGAAAAAUCUAUUUAUCACGCUUUGGAAUUGAAAACUAAAACUGAAAGAAUACGGGAAAAAAAACUCCAUUUAUAAUUUAAAAUUAAAAUCCACGUCGGUUGUAGUACACUUAACGACGUUUAACAAAAUAAUCUACGUCGGUAAUUAUAAAUCUACCGCCAUCGUAACUUAAUAUAGACGACGAGAAAAGACGACGGUAGAACAGAAAACCGCCGUUGUUUCAGUUUCUUUAACAUAUCUUUCUGCAGGACUUGUGUAGUUCAAAGCAUUGACAAUGUCUUCAUCAUAUCUCCCAGAAACUACUGAUUCAAUUGCUCAUGCUUUAGAGGCCAUCUGAAGCCAUUUCUAUUCUUUAUCGCAUUCUUGAAACCCAUCUUCUUCUUCUGAAGCUCUACGGAUAAAGGAAGAGGCUAUCACAAUAAAUCCGACGGAUCUUCUUAGGCAAGAAAAUCAAGCAGAGGAUCAGGCACAUCUGAUCUUCAGAUUUCCCUGAGAAGCGAACUUUCCUUCGACAGCGAGUGGAGGCCAGGCUUGCAUCUCUUUUGAUGGAAAGCAAGGAGUAUUCAGAAGCACUAAGUGUCCUAUCAGGCUUGAUCAAGGAAGUGAGAAGGCUAGUUGACAAGCUUCUUCUUGUGGACAUAUAUUUGAUGCGAGUAAGCUCAAUUUCUCUUUGAGAAAACAUCCAAAUUAUUAUCUUUGAGACAUGAGAGACUGAGAGAGGAAGAACUUGGAACCUUAAAUGUAAACCGAAAAUGAAUGAAAGCGACAAAUUUAUAGAAUAAAUUUUUAAAACCAACGGCGGUCCUUACAAACAAACCGCCGUUUAAAUUGUAAAAUCAACGUCGGUAUGAUCGACGUAUAUUACAGAAAUCCACGUCGGUAAAUUAAUAAAAACGACGUGUUAAAUAAUAUACCAUGACGCGAGUUAUUACUUAUGUACUUUAAUUUUUGAGUUUACUACGACGGUACCUACAAACUACUGUCGUAUUUAUUUACCACGUCCGAAGUUAAAUGUACCGUCGUAUUUUGUAAUUUAUACGUCGUAGUUAUAUGUAACCGCCAUAUUAUUUUUUUGAAAUGGUUUUAUAUGUAAGCAACUUUUCAUUCUAUUCAUAAUUUAAAAAUUAAAAUCCACGUCGGUUAUAUUAAACCUAACGACGUUAAAUGAAAUGAUUCCACGUCGAAUGAAAAAUAUUGCGUCGUUUUAGUUAAAAACGACGUAGUUAAAUGUAACCGCCGUAUUAUUUUUUUGAAAUGGUUUUAUAUGUAAGCAACUUUUCGACUUACACAUGCACUGUUUCCAAACCCGAUUAAAAAUUUCAAUCUCCCAGAGAAACCUUUUCGUCUUUUUUCCUUGUCAGAGCAUUGUCAGAGUUUCUCAUCGUCUUCCUCUCGUCUUCUUCGUCGUCUCUGAACUUAAACAUCGAUCAUCUUCCUCUUGCUUUCAUUGCACGCAAAAGGUAAGCUUUCAUUUUCACUAUUUUGGUUACUGUUUUGCAUGCUCAUACGUUUUUUGUUUGAAAAAUCUUUUUACCUUUUUUCUGGCCAAAAUCAUUUUACUUCUUUCCAAGUUUGAUAAAAUAUACAGACAAAGAGAGAAAGUUUCCAACUUUGAAGACAACUACAUCAACUAAAUAAGACGACGGUAGACCACGACGGUUCGUCAGUUGUUCUAGCGUCGUCUGAAAAUUGACAAAGUUGUUUUUAAAAUAAUAGUCUUUUUUUAUAUGCUUGUUUAAUUGCAGGUUUGAUUUCGCUGAACAAUGGUUUUUGUUUUUCCCUUAUUUGAUAAAAUAUAAAGAAAAAGAAACUAGGGUUGGUAUCUAAUAUAGACGAUAAAAUAUAAAUAAUAGUUUACCACGACGGUGUAUUACUAUUGACGUCGUGUGAACAUAUAUACCACGACGUUAUAUAAAUAAUGGUUUUAAACAUUUAUUACGUCUGAGAUUAUUUCAUUGCGUCGUCUAAAAUCAUAUCAUACGUCGUAUUUUUUUAAUACCGUCGUUUGUGUUCUUAAUGUUUUCCUGAAAUAUUUUCACUUGCAGUUUUGUCUGUUAAAAUGGUUUCUCAACAACAAACUAAGGAUUCUGGCUCCAAGAAGCUUGGAAUGGUAGCUCCUCAAGAUAAGUCUUCGAAGGAGAUGAAGUCUUCGAAGAAGAUGAAGUUUGCUGCAUCAUCUGCUGAGACAGAACAAACCAGCCAGACAACAAUCUCAGAUGAUUCAAAGACUGGUCGAGGUAUGAGCACAAUGCCUCGUGUUGUGAAGAGAAAGCUUCAGAAACUGAGGCCAAUUGUUGAGUACAAUAAAAGGGGGAAAGGUGUUGGCCAAGCACAUAUUGAGAUGCAGUCGUAUAUUGGUGUGUUGGCACGCUCCAGGAUCCCACUUGUGGACAAGAAAUGGUCCCAAAUCCCCAAGGAUAUAAAGGAGCAGAUUUGGGAAGCAGUUGACAUGGCUUUUGUCGUAGGCCAAGGGGGCAAGACCUCUGUUUUAGCUUCUGCUUCCAAGAAAUGGAAGGAUUUCAAGUCUACACUAACGAGGCAUUAUAUCCUUCCAUACACCAAUGACAGGGAGAAAUUAAGCCAACCCCCUGAAACAUAUAAAUUCAUAGAGAAAGCACAAUGGGAUGCCUUUGUAGCUUCAAGGCUAUCCAAAGAUUUUGAGUCUGUGCAUUCUCAACAUGCACAGAUUAGGGAGAAACUCGAGUACAAUCAUCGAUUGUCUCGAAAAGGAUAUGCUGGAUUGGAGGAUCAAUUGGAGGAAACCAUGCCUGGGGUAGAAAUUGAUCGAUCUACCUUAUGGAAGAGAGCUAGACAGGACAAACAUGGUAACAUCCCUGAUCCAAAGGUGGCAGAGAAAGCAAAAUUAAUUGUAAGCCUACUAUCACUCUGUUUUAAAUUUUUAUUAAACUGUGAAUUAUUCUUAUUACGUCGUAUGUUAUAUUUUUCGUCGUGUGAAUGAUAUUACCACGUCGAAAAGUUUUUAAAAACGUCGUUAAAGGUCUAAAUAGGAAUCACUACUAUGUUUUCUGUAAUUACAGCAUAAGACGUCGGUGGUUCAUUUUCGCGUCGUGUGAAUGAUAUUACCACGUCGAAAAUUUUUUAAAAACGUCGUUAACGGUCUAAAUAGGAAUCACUACUCUGUUAUCUUUAAUUAUAGCAUAAGACGUCGGUUGUUUAUUCAUUUCGUCGUUUUACAUAAAUAACCACGUCGGUAUAACUACCGUCGUGAUAAGUUAUAAUAACGUCGGUUUAUACGUUAUUGCGUCGUGUGAAAUUAUAUAAUACGUCGUUUGUACAUAAAUAACCGUCGUGUGUUUUUUUGUUUAUCUUUUUUUAGGAUGAAUUGCAGAAACAAGUCUCGGAAGGCAAAGUCAGAGUAGAUGGCAGCAAUGAUGUGCUGACCAUGGCUUUGGGCCCCGAGCAUCCAGGCAGACUGAGGGGAGUUGGUGCUGGUGUUUCCCCAAGGCAAUAUUUCAAUUUGCCCAAACCACAGAGGGUGAGCUUUGACGACCGUUUGAAGGACAGUUUAAGAGUUCUCCUUCAAGAAGAGACUAAAAAGAUGGAGGCUAAGGCAAGGGAAGAGGCCUUAAGGAUGGAGGCUAGGACAAAACAAUUGGUAGAGGCUGAGAGGGAGCAUUUCCUGAGUCAGCUUUCCCAAUUAAUUCCCAAUUUUGAUCCAAGCAUGCUUAAACCAAGAAUUAGCCAAAGCCCCAAAAAUCCAAUGUCUGACAAAGCUAGCUGCUCUGGAGGUGAUGUGAGAUCCCUACAUUUGGAGGAUGAUACUGCCAAAAUGGGGAAACAUCAGCCAGAUGAAGAGAAGGAAGAAGAAAAAAGAGAUGAAGAGAAGGAAGAAGAAAAGGAGAAAGAAGAUGAAGAAAAGCAUGACGACAGGUAUGUUCACAUAACUUUGCCUUUUUUAUUUGUUUUUCAAAAUUUCAGACGUCGAUAUUUUUAUUUAAUCCGUCGUUUGUUUAAAACUUAGACGGCGGAAUUUUUUUAAGACGUAAUAAAAUAUUUAAACGACGGUUUUUGCACCGUCGUUUAAAUGGUUUCAGACGACGCUUUAUUCAUAAAACCGUCGUCUUUAUUGAAUUACCACGACAGUUUUUUCACCGUCGUUUAAAUACUUUUAAGACGACGUUUUAUUACUUAAACCGUCGUCUUUAUUGAAUUACCACGUCAUUUUUUUUAUUUCUUUAAACAGGUUAUUGAAGUUGGUGCUUAUUCAAAUAUGGAGGCGCCAUCUUCUUUAAAAACCCUUUGUCGUUUUGUGGAAACGACACUCCUGCCUGAGGAUAAGACACUCCAAUUUACAAUUGAUAAGGAGGUGUUUGGUGGUGAGCGCGAUACCUUCCUCCUGCCUGAAGAUAUUACACAAUUUGCAGGCAUGGAAGAAAUUGGAGCUACUGUAUUGGCUGUAUAUAUGAGGUUUGUACUUCUAAAAUAAUACCUCGUUGGUUUAUAUAUUGCGUCGUCUUAACUAACUAACCACGUCGUCUUAACUAACUACCGUCGUGAUAAAUAUAUUAUAACGUCCUCAUCUAUUUCAGUACGUCGUGUGAAAUAUUAUAAUACGUCGUUUUUUUAUACAUAACCGUCGUGUUUGUUUGUGCUGACUUGUUUAUAUUAUUUUAUGUAUUUAGGUACUUACACGAUGUUUUGAAACAAGCCAAUAUGUGCAGCAUGGUUGGCUUUAUUGACCCUGCUACAGUUAGUGCCAACUCUGGCACAAUAACUGAAAGAUCACGACUGGUAGCAGCUCGACUUCAGAAGACAGACGGUGAACAGCUUUUCAUGAUGCCUUACAAUCCAGGGUUAGUCUCCUUAGGAUUUUGUUUUUAUGAUUUUCAAUAAAUGACAGCUUAUAAACUAACCACGUCGGUGUUUUAUUUUAUUUAGUCGUUUGAAACUACUAACCACGUCGGUAUUUAUUUGUCGUCGUGAUAAAUAUAUAAUGUCGUCGUUAUCUACUUUAUUUCGUCGUGUGAAAUACUAUAAUACGUCGUUUUUGUAAAUAACCGUCGUUUUUAUAUUAAUUUUGUGCAGCCGUCAUUGGAUCCUGCUGAUUGUAAGAGCAAAGAAGGAGACCGUCUAUUUUCUGGAUCCUCUGCCAGGUCAUCGUGUGGUCGACGAAGAGGCGAAAAACAUCGUGAACAGUGCUUUAAAAAUAUAUAAUACCCACAUAGGCCGAGCAGGACGUAAAAAUGUAAUUUGGAAAACUCUCUCAGGCACACCAAAGCAACCCAGCAAUGUCGAAUGCGGGUAUUAUGUGAUGCGCUUCAUGAGGGACAUCAUCAUGGAUCCUUCCUUGGGGUUUGAGAAUAAGGUAAGAAGAAAUUACCUUCAUACAUUUCACGUCGUUUUUUGUAUUAUCAACGACGGUCAUGUAAAAUUAACGUCGUUGAAUGGAUAUACUACGUCGGUUAUGAAAAAUAUCGUCGUCUGUGAUUGAAUUUCUUUUUAUUUAUAAACCCUAAUAGUCAUUGUUUAUGCAGUAUGCCAAGGGAAACCAGGAAGCUUCAUACCCCCAAGAAGCCAUUGAUGAAGUCCGGAAUGAAUGGGCAGAGUUUGUUUUCCAAAUUAUUAAACAGGGCAAUUAUUGAACACUUGAUAUUUAUGUAUAAUGUACAAAUUUUCUCUAUAAUAUGUAAUGUAAAAAUUUGUUGAGGUUUUCUUAAAUUAAAAAAAAAACAAACAUACAAAUUGCUUAACCGACGUGUAAUACUUUUCCAACGACCUAAUAAAGUCACAAACCGUCGUAUUUUGUUGUUUCGUGUUUUAAACAAUUACGACGUAAAAAUAUAGUUAGACGACGUUCUUUGAACAAUUGAGUCGUUUAUGGUUUACAACAUCUUCAAUUUCUUAAGGGUUCAGGGUAUCAUCGACGACGUUUAUGUAACGACAGCGGUUAAGUCGUUGAUAUAUAUAUUUUACGUCGUAUAGUUAAAUAGCCGCCAUGGUUUCUCAUUUUAACGACGUCAUUUUAACGACUUAGUAGUCUAUUACAAUUUACAACGUCUACAAUUUAUUAACACCGACGUGGUUUGUUGUUGUGGUAAGAAUAUUUUAUUAUUUUUAUAUCAAAAUAUUCAAAAUAAAUUUAAAAUAAAUCAGAAAAUUGAAAAGUCAACUCCUAUGAAGUCAUUGAUAUAUUUUCUUCCACAUAAACCUUGAAAAAAUUCAUUUUGAAUAACAAAAAUUUAAAAUGACCAUCCAAAACAAAAUUGUUUUGAUGAGUCAUAAAAUCACUUCUAGUUUAAUGGUUUAGGGUUUAGAGUCUAGGGUUUAGAGAUUAGUGUUGUUAUUUAUUGGGGUUUAUUUUUAAAGUAUAAUUUUUGGGUAGUCUAUGUUAUAUGUUAGGCUUUAAAACCAUAAAACCUUUUAUAAACUUAAUUUUUUAAAUUGUAUAAUUUAAUUUUAUGGGUUUAGUGUAUUAAUUUUUAACGACGGUGGUUGGGUCGUGGAAUACAUAUUUUACGUCGUACAGUAAAACAUACGACAUGGUUUACGCUUUAAACGACGUUAUUUUAAUAUGUAAGUCGGUUUAUAUAAUUUACAACGUCUUUAAUUUCUUAACACCGACGUGGUUUUUCAGUCGUCGUUAUAUAAAAAAUUCAAAAUAAAUUUAAAAUUAAUCCGAAAAAUGAACGGCCUUACGUUCUUAAUCCGAAAAAUGAAGUUUCCGUCGUGGAAUAUUAAAUUUACGUCGGUACUUGUAGAAUUUCGCCUUGGUUUUUCUUUCGACGUUUUAUAACGCGCGCGCUCUAAAAAUUUUCGCGCGACCUAAAUUUUUUUAGAUUUGGCUCUUAGUCUUAUACUUUGAUCCCUGAAACCUAAAAUUUCAGAUUUCACGCGACAUAACAUUUCGCUCUCUCACUUCUGCUCUAAUUAAAAGUUGCACUCUCCAGGCUCGUCGAAUCUGUGAGCUCGUCCAACCUGUAAGUACAAACCCUAUCUUCCCCUUGUAAAUUCAUUGAAUGAUAUUAGGUUGUUUUGUUAAAGGGUUUUAGGUAUAUGCUUUGCGAUCUGUUAAUAAUGUGCUUAUAGGUAUGGGUUCAUGGAUUUUCUGUUUAAUGGGUUCAUGACAAGAUCAAAUAAAGGUGUACUUUUGCUGGAAAUCAACACAAAAAGACACAUCACCAACUUCCAAAUGAUUUCCAGCAAAAGGACACCUUUAUUUGAUCUUGUCAUUUUCCGCUCUGGAGAAGGUGCAAAGUGCACCAAUGCUUAUAGGUAUGGGUUCAUGGAUUUUCUGUUUAAUGGGUUCAUGGAUUACAUUAUCUGUUAUGUUGAAUUGGGAAUGGAUUUAAUUUUGUCGUAUCUUUUAAUCACCCUAUGUUAUGUUGAAUUGGGAAUGGAUUUAUUGUUUUCAUGCUUGGUUUCAUGUAUAUGUUGGUUUCUUGCUUGGUUUCAUAUAUAUGUUGUGUUCUUAAUGGGUUUUGUGUUCUUGAAAAUAAACUGAGACACGACGAAUUUUAAGGCGUACGACGACGAUUACACGACGGUGUUUUUAAACUACCGUCGUUGUAUUACUUAUACACGACGGUUUUUUCAUAAACCGUCGUUUGUAUUACGUAUAAUAGACGACGUCUGUUGAAAAUCCGUCGUCUAUAUAUGCCAAAUACGUCUGUUUUUGAUUAAAACCCGUCGUCUCUGUUGUUUAUUACUUGCGAUUAGAUCAUUGUAUAAUCUGCUAUAGUGAUGGUCAUUGCCUGUAUUUUCACUUUAUUAUAGAUAAUAGGUUAUAGUGUCGGAGAUGGAUAAGUCAUGGAUGCACUCGGAUAGAAGAUCGAAGGCAUAUGAGUUUGGGGUGGAAGCAUUUUUGAACUUUGCUGUAGAAAAUCUUCUAACUACAACACAUAUCCGUUGUCCAUGUGUUAAAUGUGUUAAUUUGAAGUUGUUUGGGGUUGGAAUUAUAAGGGAUCACUUAUACUUUAAUGGAAUUGACCAAAGCUAUAAGAAUUGGACAUUUCACGGAGAACCUUGGGAAGCAACUACUAAUGCUAGCAGAAAUGUUGAAGAAGAUGAUGGCCAUAGUAGGUACAGUUUUGUGUCUGAAGAAAUUGAUAUGGAUGAUAAUGAUUUUGGUGAUUUUGGUUCGGAUCCGUAUGAGUUUGCCAAUGUGAUUGGGGAUGGAGAUCAACCAGUGUACCCUGGUUGUAGAAAGUACACGAAGUUAUCGGCAUUAGUGAAGUUGUAUAAUUUGAAGGCAAAACAUGGGAUGAGUGAUGUCUGUUUUACAGAAUUAUUGAUACUUCAAGGCGAUUUGCUUCCAGAAGGAAAUACAAUACCAACCUCCAUGUAUGAGGCUAAAAAGACUUUGUGUGCAUUGGGGCUGAGUUAUGAGAAAAUGCACGCAUGCCCCAAUGAUUGCAUCUUGUAUAGGAAGGAGUAUGAGGAUUCAACUAAUUGUCCUACUUGUGGUAUCUCAAGGUGGAAGGAAGGCAAAGAUGCAAUCUUGAAAGAGGGUGUGCCAGCGAAGGUGGUGUGGUAUUUUCCCCCAAUUCCAAGGUUUAAAAGGAUGUUUCAAUCACAUGAGACAGCUAAGAGUUUGACUUGGUGGCAUGUUGCUAGAAAAUCAAUUGACGGUCAGAUGUCUCAUCCGGCGGAUUCCCCGUCUUGGAAACUUCUUGAUGAUAAAUGGCCUGAGUUUGGUAAUGAGCCGAGAAACUUGAGAUUGGCUCUUUCAUCUGAUGGAUUCAAUCCCCACAGUUCUCUAAGUAGCAGAUAUAGUUGUUGGCCGGUUAUCUUAGUUACAUAUAAUCUCCCUCCAUGGCUGUGCAUGAAACGAAAGUUCAUGAUGUUAACCUUAUUGAUUUCCGGUCCUAAACAACCCGGAAAUGAUAUAGACGUCUACUUGGAGCCUUUGAUUGAUGAUUUAAAAUCCUUGUGGGUUGGGAUUAGAGGAGUGUAUGAUGCACAUAAUGGAGAAUACUUUACACUCAGAGCUGCAUUAAUGUGGACAAUUAAUGAUUUCCCCGCCUAUGGAAACUUAUCUGGUUGUGUUGUUAAAGGAUAUAAAGCUUGUCCAAUAUGCGGCGAUGAUACACCUAGUCACAGGUUGAAAAAUGGCCACAAAAUUUGUUACAUUGGGCAUAGAAAAUGGUUACCAAUCAAUCAUCCAUAUAGGAGCAACGUGCAGCUUUUAAUGGGAAACUGAAUAUGGCAUACCUCCAGAGCCAUUAACCGGAGAAGAAGUGCUGCAUAUGGUUGAAAAUGGUGACAGAGUUUGUUGGAAGAAGAAAUCAAUAUUCUUUGAUCUCGAGUAUUGGAAAUACCUUCCUGUGAGGCAUGCCCUAGAUGUUAUGCACAUUGAGAAGAAUGUUUGCGAUAGUAUCAUUGGUACAUUGCUGGAGAUCCCUGGAAAAAAUAAAGAUGGGAUUGCUGCUCGAUUAGAUUUAUUGAACAUGGGGGUCAAAACUGAUUUGCAACCCGAGUAUGGAGAAAGACGUACUCGUUUGCCUCCUGGGCCUUGGAAUUUGUCAAGAGCAGAGAAGAGAGAGGUUUGCAAUUCUUUCUAUGGUAUGAAGGUCCCUGAAGGUUAUUCUUCAAAUAUUAAAAAUCUUGUAUCUGUACAAGAUUCAAGACUUCUUGGCCUUAAAUCACAUGAUUGUCAUACCUUAAUGCAACAAUUGCUCCCUGUGGCAAUUCGUUCUGUUUUGGAGAAGCCUGCAAGGUAUGCAAUAACUCGUUUGUGCUUCUUCUUCAAUGCUAUAUGUGCAAAGACUGUUGAUGUUUCCAAGCUAGAUAAGUUGGAAGAAGAUGUAGUAGUUACUCUGUGUUUGCUUGAGAAGUACUUUCCCCCUUCAUUCUUUGAUAUCAUGGUUCAUCUAGUAGUACAUCUUGUCAGAGAAGUUCGUCUAUGUGGGCCAGUAUAUUUUAGGUGGAUGUAUCCGUUUGAAAGAUAUAUGAAAGUGCUGAAGGGGUAUGUUCAGAAUCGUACUCGUCCCGAAGGUUGCAUUGCUGAGCGGUAUAUAGCUGAAGAAGCGGUAGAGUUUUGUACUCAGCAUUUAUCUGAUGUUAGUACAGUUGGAGUGCCUUCAAGCCAAAAGAUGGGAGUUUCAAAGCCAUUAUCAGGUUGCACAGUGAGCGUAGUUGAUCAGGACCUGUUGAAUCAAGCACAUCUAUAUGUCUUGGAGAAUACGGAGGAAGUCCUACCUUAUAUCGAGUACGUAUGAGUUUUAUUCUUUAAGUUUCCAUUUAAAAUUAUUUCUUAUGUUUAUCUUAUAUAUUUGGGACCGUAAUGCUUGAAUUUUUCGUGUCAUGUAGGCAACAUAUGAUCCACAUCAAGACUGCUUAUCCAAAAUUUAGAAAGAGAACAAAGUGGCUGCAGGAUAAGCACAAUAGCACUUUCAUUCAAUGGCUACGCUUCAAGGUAUAUGUUGUUGAAUAACGUAUUUCUCUUUUAAUUUUCUUCUUAUUUAUAUGUUAGGAUGAAUUAAGAUAUGAUUAAUUUGCAGGUUCAAAGUGAAGUUGAGGAAGACAAUCAUGGCGUAUCAGAAAAUUUAAGGUGGCUAGCAGCUGGUCCAAACAUGUCAGUGCCAUUAUAUAGGAGCUAUCUUAUUAAAGGUAUUAAAUUCAAUAUCAAGGCACAAGAUGAUGUGCGGACAACUCAAAAUAGUGGAGUUUAUUUACUUGCACAUACCAUGCAAGUUGCUAGUGCCAAGGAUAAAAACCCAAUUCUCUCAAAUAUGGGUUUCUAUGGUGUCAUUCAAGAAAUUUGGGACCUUGACUACCAAAAGUUUACAAUCCCAGUCUUUAGGUGUGAUUGGAUAGAUAGUUCUGGUCUUGUAGUCGACGAACUUGGAUUUACCCUUGUAGAUUUGAGUAAAAUUGGACAUAGGAAUGACCAAUUUGUUUUGGCUUCUCAAGUCAAACAAAUAUUUUUUGUUGACGACCCGAUGCAUCGUGGUUGGUCGGUAGUGUUAUCAAUGCCUAGUAGAGAAUAUAAUGAUGUUAUUGGUGAUGAAGUAUUAGGUGAUGUGAUAAUUGAGUGUGAGCCAUUUACUAGAGGGAUGCCAAAUGUUGACACAUUUGAUGAACUGGUAGGUGAGUUAGGCGGUCAAAAUAUUCGAGAUGGGUGUGAAGAUAUAUGGAUUGAAUGAUGCUUAUGUAAUUGGCAGUGUAUGACAUUAAUUUUGUAAUAUAUUGUAAUGUGAUUUCUUCACUUUCUACGUUCAAAUAAAACACGACGUUAUUGUGAAUCAGUUAUUCAGCAUAUUUACCGACGUCUUAAAGCAACGUAACAAUGAAGAACCACGACGCUAUUGUGAAGCAAUUAUUCAGGAUAUCACGUCGGUGAAGGAUAAAGAACCGCCAUGUAAUUCAAAAUAACACGACUCCAAUCCCAUAAUACCGACGUCUAAAAAACGAGAUAUGUAAUCUGAACGUUAAAAAAUACGACGUCAUCAUACAUUUUCCACGUCGCAAGUUCUUUUAUAAACGAAGAGGAACGAAAUUAAUUCCGACGGAAAUUCAUUAUAACCGCCGUCUAAUAACAAUUAAACGACGUUAUUUGUAAUACGGCUCCCAUCAUAAUCUACGCCGUCUAUAUGUUCUGUAAUACGGCUCUCAUUUAUUUGGAACCGACGUUGUUUAGACGUUCAACGUCGUCUAUAUUAUUAAGUGCGUCGUGAGUAAUGAAUACAUAUAAAUACAACGUCGACUAUAUAAAUGUAUACGUCGUAAAUAAUGACACUGACAACUAUUUCCACGUCAUCUUUUUUAGAUAAAAUCGAAGUGGAAAAUUUAUUUCACGACGGUUUUUUGUAAAUAAGAGACGUUGUAGAACUUUAGCAGACUAAACACGUCUGUUUUUAUUGUUUUCCGACGUUGUUGUAUUUAACAACGUCUAAUAUUUAUGGUCGUUGUUUGUUUCUGAAAAUAGGACGUAUAAAUUUUUUAAUACGACUCUCAUAUAUUUGUAACUGACGUUGUUUAGUUUUUCAACGUCUACUAUAGAAACACAUACGUCGUAAAUAAUGACACUGACAACUAUUUCCACGUCAUCUUUUAUCAAAAAAUCGAAGUGGAAAAUUAAUUGUACGACGGUUGUGUUUAUAUGUGCGACGUAGUAGGUAUCAAUAACGUCGUCUUCUAAUGUAUUUAAAGACGUCAUAUUUUUUAUUGUCGUGAAAAUUAUAUUUAACGUCGGCGUAUUUUUAUUGUCGUCGUUGUAUGUCUAUCUUGCGGCCUUGUUCUCUUAAUAUGUGUCAUAUUUUCCCUUUUUAACGACGGUCUUUUUAGAGAAUUGGUCGUCUAUUAUCAUCAUCGAUUGCUUUUUUUAGAUCUUUUGCAGUACAAAGACGUCGUUUUGUAUUUUUUGAUGACGUUGUAUUGUUUAACAACGACGGUUAUUUAGCGUCGUGGUUUAUGAGGGAAAAGAUGACGGUGGAUUCCACGACCAUUGAAAAACCAAAUACACGACGGUGAUUUACCGUCGUCUUUUUGCUUUUUUGUAGUAGUGAAUUUGUAACAUUGGAUAAAAAUUAUUUUAGAACUCCAAUGCCUAAAAAACAAACCCUCAUGAAAGCUACCUAAAAGCGAAAAAGAAAGCUAAUAAAUGUCAGUAGUCACUCAGUAACCACCAUAAAAUAAAUUAACCACGUCCCGCAUUUGGCAAAACCGUCGCUUAUGUAUGAAAUCAAGAAAAUGAAAAUACUAUUUUAUGAGAUAGAGAUGCUACAAGUAUGAUAUUUAAAUUAUAAAACCGAUCCAAUGCCUGCGAUAUAGCAACACCACCAUGUCCACCACGUAUGAUGAGCUCCCGUUUCACACUCACCAACCCUCUCGUAGAACCACCGCGAACCGCCUGUUUGCGGUGGUUCAUUUGUGUGCCAUCUAAGCCCUAUUUUAUCACCAUGCACUCUCACUGCUCCACUCCAAAACCCUCCCUUCUUUCUUCAUCACCCUCAUUCUCUUCAUCUCCGACUCUGUCCAAGGGUGGCCCUGAGGGUGUGCAAGUGGUGCCACCGCACAGUGCCCCUAAUUUUUUAGGGGCCCCAAUUUUUUUUCAUGUGUAUAAUAUAUGUAGAGUGUUGCUAUUUUCACUCACCUUAUUUUAAAAAAUUUAAAGACAAAUUUAUCCCUAUGUAAAAUGACUUCUAAAACCCUAAAAAUAAAACAAAUUUUAAAAAGAAAAUAAAUUUUUUCUUUUACUCUCCAUAUUCUUUUCAUCUUCCUGACCUCAACAAAUUCAGCAAGCAUUGAUCUACCCAUCCCAAUCCUUUGAAAAGUUUUUAAAAAAAAAAUUCAAAUCAAAUUCUCAACUCCACCUUUAAUAUUGUGUCAGGGUUGGUAGGUGUUGAUAAUAGAGGCCAAAUUGUCCUUUAAUUUUAUUCUAUUUUAAAGAUUUUUUAGUCUGAUUAACCCACAUACGGGUCCUUAUUCCAUAUAACAUCACUUCAAUUAAAAAUCCAUUGUAGUUUUGUUGGUUGUAUGUUGUUGUGGUGGUGCUGUCGCGAUCGUGAAGCCACCAGUACUGCUAAGGGGUUGAUGAGAAUAUUAAUAUCGUAGGGUAAGGUCGUGAUGUUGAAAACACAUGAAGAAGAUGAAGAAUGGUUUUUUUUUUUUUUUUGGUGUUAAAAUUUUUAUGUUUUUAACUUGGAGUUGAUGGUGUUUGGUCGAAUUAAUAAUUAAAGGGUAUUUUAGGAAUAAUGGUGGGUGAAAAAGUAGGAUUUUAAUUUUUCAAAUUUACAUAGUUGGUGAGAAAAUAGGACAGGUGGGUGGAAAUAGCAGCACUCUAUAUGUAUAACAAAUGUUAUAUAUAUACAGAGUGAGCAAAUUGUUGACACAAAGACGUUUCUAGUUGUGUUGGUUUGUAGGGCCUCAACUUCUAUUCAGGACUCGACUUCAAAACCUGCUUGUGUUAAAGGCUUGUCCGAUGUCAACACCAACAUUCAAUAUCCCAUCUACGUUCACAACCACAAACUGAAAUAAUAAAUACCCGAUCACAAGGAAUUAGUCAGUAAUUAUGCUCAGAUAUUCAAUUUCGCAAAAAUAAUGCAUCCAACUAAGUCAACCAAAAUAAUUGCAUCGAAUUAAUGAUGUUCUUGGAAUAUUGAUACAAAAUAAAUUAGGUGUUAAAAAAUAUUUAAUAUCUGAGUAUGACCUAUGAUGACAAAGACUUAUUGUCACAAUCAUAGUGAUUAUUCAAAAGGUGUAACAUCUCUGACCCAACGUAAUCAAUUUAAUCCAAUUUAAUUCUUUUGUGAAAUUUCAAUUUUGUCCUUGGGAGUAGGGGUACUUUGAUCACUUUAAGAAAAAAAAACAUUUAUUGCAUGGCAUUAUAGCAACUCCACUAAGCAGCUGAGCCCAAAGCUGGGAGGGGAAAAAAAAAAUUUCAUUCCAGCGGUGAGCCCAAGCCCGGGCUGGGAGUGGGUCCCACCAACUCGGGCUGGCCCGAAGGUCAGUUCAGCCCGAGGUGAUGCCGUCAGCUAGAUAAUACCCCGUUUGGUACACUGUAUUGUUGACUUGAUAGGUGAUAUAUUGGGGCCCUAGCCUCUCAAUACAUCGUUGAAGACCGGGGAUUGACCCAGCACGUUGAGGUCAUUUUGGGAUCCUGCAACUCCAAAGAAGGCAUGCCAAACCCAUGUGGCGAAGCCAGCAACGGCUUCAAGGAUGAUACUUUUUUGGCCUUUUCUAUUUCCGUAAUCACCUUGCAAGGCAGUUGGGCAAUUCUUCCAUUGCCAAUGCAUGCAGUCGAUGCUACCAAUCCUGGAAAUCCUCGAGCUUCGGCUUUUUGUAGAAGCCGUUGGAGGUCCCUGGGAGUAGGUCUACGCAGGUAGUCCCUAGUGUAUAGAGUUUCAACUGCUUGACAAAAUCUUACCAAAGCCUUCAACGUAGUGGACUUCCUCAUCCGGGCAAUCUCAUCCACCUGAUCAGCAGAUGCUCCAUAUGCCAACAUUCGUAUAACAGCUGUAAGCUUUUGCUCCAGAAGAAGCCCCAAAACCCCAACAUCAUCACACUUUUGAACAAAGUAUGCAUCAUAAUUGAAAAUAUCAUGCAUGACUUUAUCGAACAAAUGGGGUUGCAUUCUAAAUCGCCUUCGAAAAUCAAUAUCAGAGUACAAAGAAGUUGGGAUAAAAUAAUCUUCCAAAAGAUUCUUACCCCGAGAAUGCCUAUGUCUGUCCACAUUCCAGCGGCGGCCGACUUGUGAACCACGGCGGCGACCUUAGUUCUCUUCAUCUUGCAAAUCCACUGCUAUGACAACUUGUUCAUCGACUUGUCUAUGCAACUCAUUGAUUUCAUCUGCUCUACGGUUUCUCUCAUUUGUUUCUCGCUCUUGCCUCUCCAAGCAUCUCCUAAAAUCUUCCAUUGAGAAUGAAUGGAGUAUGAAUUCUAAACUCUGAGAAAUGAAAAUAUAGAAAGAUGUGGUGUGAGAGGUAUGAGCUGAGCCUCUGGUUUUAUAGAAAAUUUUGGCAAGAUAGACAUGCCAUGUGGCUUGAUUUGAUUGGAUGAAAAUCUUAUCUGAAAUUUGAAAUUCAUCCGAAAUUUGAACCCAAAUUUGUAUGAAAUUUGAAUUUUGAAAUUCAUUCGAAAUUUGAACCCAAAUUUAUCUGAAUUUUGAAAUUUGAAAUUCAUUCGAAAUUUGAACCCAAAAAUUUAUCUGAAUUUUGAAUUUUGAAAUUCAUCCGAAAUUUGAAUCCAAAAAUCUUAUCCGGAAAUUUUAUCCGAUUAUGAAUAGUCUUGACACGUAAGAACCCGGAAAUCUUAUCCGAAGAUAUUAUCCAAAUUAAUUAUUUUCAUUAAAAAAUUUGUGAAAAAAAUAUAAAAAAUGAAUAGUAAUUGCCCUUAGCCAUGACAAUGGAUGAAAACACAAAAUACUAUUUGCAAGGGCAACCACUAUUCACGUGAAUAGUGGCUGCCCUAGCUCCCCCCUUGCCAUGGCUAAGGGCAAAUGGGUGGAGUUGCUCUUACAUAAUGGUGUAAGUUUUUGUUAACUUAUGUGAGGCCCCAAUUUAAGGUUUGCACAGGGCCUUCAAAAUCUCAAGACCGGCCCUGACUCUGUCCUUGCUUUUAUGUUCACCACCACGCAAUCUUUUCGGAUGAAUUAAACACAUCGAAUCGAAUUCCCAGAAAACCUCAAAAAGGUCAUGGAAGACUCAAACUUUCCAGCACUGGACGUGUUCAUAUGCAAUGCUGAUCCGGACAAGGAGCCGCCAAUGAACGUAGUGAACACGGCCUUAUCGGUCAUGGCUUAUGAUUACCCGACCGACAAGGUAUCGGUGUAUGUUUCGGACGAGUGCGGCUCGGCUCUGACUCUCUUUGCUUUCGUGGAGUCUUCCAAGUUUGCAAGGCACUGGUUGCUUUUUGUAGAAAGAACAAGAUAGUGGAGUGCAACCUAGAAGCUUAUUUUGCAAUGGAUCAUUCUCGGUUUGCUGACGCUGAGAAGAUCAAGGUAAUAGCUACAAAUAGUAUAGUACCAUAUAUCAAUUUCAUUAAUUAUAUAUAUAUAUGUAUGCUUAUGUUGUUAAACUGCAAAUGUGAACCACCACACGGUGUGUCUAUACGAGAACAUUUGUGUAAAGGUUCUGUUAAGAUAGCAAGAUUAAACAGAAAAUGCAGAGAGAAAUGAAUAGAAGCAGAGAGAGUUUCAGAGUAAUGAAAAGAAGAAUUAUUGUAUUCUCAUUAACCUCAAGCUUAGCACAAUUACAAACUUUAUAUCAGCUUUAGUUAGAGCUUUGUUCACGUUUUCUAACCUCUCUAAUAUUCGCUGAUCAAUUACUAAUAGUUCUUCCUAACUGCCUAACAAUACUAACAACAUCUUAACCACUUAACUCUUUAAUCUUAUGACAUGUGGCAAGACUAGGACCAUUGAUAUCUUUACAGGUUCGAAAUCCCCAGACAUCCAAUAAGUAUUUGUGUAAAACUCCUCCCUCUUGUACCAAAAAUUACCUUUAGAGAGUAUACAAUGAGAGGGAGAGAAGGCAAGUAGAUAGGCCAAACGGGACUCCUAAGAUGGGAGACUUCCUUGUUUCAUAGAAUGAUAUUAGAUUUAUGGAGCAAACCAUUAGAUUAAUUAACUAUAUUUUGUUCUGAAUCAUGCAUGGCACAGGAUAUAUACCUAGGCCUGAAAGUAAAGGUAAACAAUGUAAUUGAGAGAGGCAAACUUGGGCAUGAACAUAUAACUGGAGAAGGGGAAAGUCAAGCUUUUAGGAAAUGGACGGAUGAGUUUACCCGACAAGAUCAUCCCACUGUCACCUAGGUAUUUUUCUAACUCAAGUGGUGAAGCUCUUUAUUCUCACUUUUAUGAUGAUAUGAUUAGACUACUUUGAUUCUCCAUCUCCCCUUUCCGUAAUCAUUAAAAAAUAAACAAAGGUUACCUCAAAGCAACAGUAAUAAUUUCUAUGAGGAAAUAAUCACGCAAUAAUCUUACUAGACAAUUUGUCAUGGUUAUAUGCCCAGGAUUCAAAAAUAAGAUAGACAAUUACCUUUUCUCCCAAAUUUCAGUUCGGCUAUAGCUCUAUCCAAACAUGGCUGGAUCUGUGACCCUAUUAAAGAUGAUCCGAGUUCAAAACUAAUGUAUAUGCGUAUCUUUGUGUAAUAUGAUUGAGCAGAUUCUUUUGGACAAUAGCAAGGACAAGGACAUCACAGAACAGUCGAUGUCAAACCUAAUAUACGUGUCGAGAGAAAAACGCAGGACAUCACCCCACCAUUUUAAAACUGGUGCCCUUAAUGACCUUGUAAGCUUUCAUACGUACUUAUUUUUCCCAUUCAAACAUCUCUUUAUUAAUUAAUUUAAUUAAUUUAUGCAUUGGUGUGGUGUAACAAAAAGCUUCGAGUUUCAGCCACCAUGACCAAUGCUCCAACAAUCUUGACUCUAGACUGUGACACCUACUCUAAUGACCCUCAAACACCCCAUCAUGCCCUAUGUUACUUACCAGACCCCAAAUUUCGAUCCAAAUUAGAGUUUCUGCAGUUUCCUCAGCGUUUUCAUGGCAUCAACAAGAAGGACGUAUACGCAUGUGAGCACAAACGUUUGUACAAAAUUAACUCUUUCGGAAUACGGGCGAUUGGGACCAAAUUAUUUAGGAACAUGAUGUUUUUAUUUCUAGAAGGGUUUUCUUUGGCGGCCCCUCACAUCUUUUACUUCCUGAAAUGCCCCAACUUGGUCAAAACAAUGUUGUGGACAAACCCAUUCAGUCUCAAGAGGUUCUGGAAUUGGCUCACCAUGUUGCCGGUUGCAACUAUGAGAAGAAUACCACUUGGGGCUUAAAGGUAAUUCAGCCAAAUAUGUAAUUGCUUUUUAAAACUUCUCCUUUAUUUAUUUAUUUUAAAUUUGGAAAUUGAUGUAGUUGUGAGUUAGGCCAAUUGGCCGGGAAAUGUGUCGGUCUCUUUGCAACCGACUUCGAUCCCUCUCCCCGUACAUUACAGUUGUUAAAAUAUCACUUUGUUAAAAUAAUAAUAAUAAUAAAAUUGUGUAAACUGUGUAGAUUGGUGUAAGAUAUGGCUUACUUGAGGUGGCUUUCUCCAAGCAUAGUCCAAUUACACACGGCACUCUGGCCAUGGGCCCUUUCAUGGGCCUUGCUUAUGCUCAGUAUGCAUUUUGGCCCAUUUGGUCUAUUUCGUUCACCAUAUACGCCUUCCUUCUCCAACUGGCUUUCCUCAAUGGACUCACUAUAUUUCCAAAAGUAAUGUACACAUUUACCUUUCUCAAUUUCUUCUUCUAGAUAAAUAAGAAAUGUUCUAUUGUCAGACAAUUUGAUACGUAAUGUUUAUUCGGGUAGGUUUCAAAUCCAUGGUUUCUCUUGUAUGUGUAUCUUUGUAUCGGAGCCUACGGUCAAGAUCUCCUAGAUUUUUUGUUAGCUGGGGGAACAUUCCAUAGGUGGUGGAAUGACCAAAGGAUGUGGAUGAUUAGGGGACUUUCAAGCUUCUUGUUUGGAACCAUUGAGUUCUCUCUUAAAUCCUUAGGCAUUGCCUCGCAUGGGUUCAAUGUGACAAGCAAAGUCCUUGACGAGGACCAAAGCAAAAGAUACGAACAAGGAAGCAUUGAGUUUGGAGUCUCAUCACCCUUGUUUGUGACCCUAACAAUGGCUGCCAUUGUCAACUUGGUUGCCUUUGCUUGGGGGAAUGUAGAGCUUAUCAGAGGCAGCAAUAGAAGACGGAAGCCAGUUACAUCAAAGUGAACCCAAAAAAAUGAAUUCAACUAAUGAGAAACCUCUACAUUAAAAACAACGAUAAAAUUAUUGGGUACCCGUUAUAUUUUAUGUAUUUGCUAACCAUAAGGUUGAGAGUACUCAUUGAACAGAGAGAGAGAGAGAGAGAGAGAGAGAGAGAGAGAGAGAGAGAGAGAGAGAGAGAGAGAGAGAGAGAACGAACGUAACGUAAAUAAAUUCUCAGAUGUUUGAGAAAGACAUAUCCUCUUUCUAUACUGGUCCAUGAAAACAAGGACAUCCUCACAUUGUCGUUGGCCCUGCCCACCACCAUGACCCUUGUCAAAAUAAUUGAGUCAGGCCCAGAGCCAAGUGGGAAUGUGACUGCGACCACAACUAGCCCUAGACAAAUUGACUACACUCUUAAACACAGGAUCUCGGUGGCAGAGAUCAAUCCUUCUAAUCACUUGAUCUAUAAAUCGUUUGCAAUAUAUAUACAUCUUUCUAUAAUGAAAAUUGAACUUCCGAAAAUCUGUAAGCCGUUUACAUGGAUCUCAUUCUAAUGAAAAUUCCAUACCAAGAAGAUAUAAUUACUACAUAUCCUGGUAGGCAAGAACUUUUCUUUUUAAUAAUUUCGUUUAACUUUUACUGAUUAAAAUUUUCUUAUUUGUCUGAUUGCUGAUCAGAAAGUCAGCCAUGUGUGCUUGACUAGUGUCAUAUCACCACGCCAGCAUGGCAGCAUCCAGUAUUAUUAAUUAAUAUAAACUCGUCCAUUUCUGAGAAGGAUCCAGAAAUUAUGGAAUUUGCGAGGUUGCUACUUUCCAUUCUCCAACGCACAUUAUUUUUCAAUUCUUGGACCCAGCUCCAUUUGAUAAUGUUAUCUUCAAUUGACUGGAUUCUGUGCUCAAAUUCUAACGGUCAACCAGAUCACUCAUACUAAGCUACAGCCACACUGUCAAUUGACUGGUAGAACAUGAUUUAUUUCAUUCAUGGCCUGAUUUUUAUUAAAAUAAUAAUCAAAAUUCACUAUUCAAUGAGCAUGAGUAUUGUUAGCGUCCACAAAUAUGAUUUGUAUCAGCACUGUGGGUGCCUAAUAUAUUAAAAGACUGUCAUUUAGUAUAUUGGAAACGACAAGUGCCAAUAUAAAUUAUAUUUGUGAAUACUAAUAUUCAUGUUUACUGAAUUUUUUUCUAGUCGUAAUUUUCACAAAUUAAGAAUAAAGCAUUAUCUGACUUGUUAAUUACAUUCAUCUAAUACAUUAUUAUAUGCUGAUUUGUUUACAAAUAAUGUGCAUGAUUGUGUCUUGAUCUUCAGUCUCUUUGGUUUUAAAAUGAUUGAUGGUCGAUAGAGAUGCAUCACAACGUACGAAAAGUGUUGGGGCCUGUGGUAUGAGAAACACCAAGGACCUUUAUAUAAGAACCUCUAAACCUCAUGUCCUGCCUAUGAAAUAGCAGAAGUACAAGAAGGGAGACUCAAACUCAAAGAGUUUCCACUCUUGCACCAUCAUGUCCACCACCACCACCCAUAAUGACCUCCCACUACACACCCACAAGCGCUCCCGUCGAACGACCGCGAACCGUGUGUUUGCGGUGGUUCACUCGUGUGCCAUCCUAGCCCUUCUCUACCGCCAUGCACUCUCUCUCCUCCACUCCACAUCCCUCACCUCUUUCCUUAUCACCCUCACCUUCCUCAUCUCCGAUUCUAUUCUGGCUUUCAUGUACAGCACCGCACAAUCUUCUCGUAUGACACCGAUUUACCGUAAAGAAUUCCCCAAAAACCUGAAAAGGGUUGUCAAAGAAUCGGAUUUUCCAGCGUUGGACGUGUUCAUAUGCACUGCUGAUCCGUUCAAAGAGCCACCAAUGAACGUGGUAAACACUGCCUUAUCGGUCAUGGCUUAUGAUUAUCCGACCGAUAAGGUUUCGGUGUAUGUUUCAGAUGAUGGGGGCUCGGCUCUCACUCUCUUUGCUUUCAUGGAGGCUGCCAAGUUUGCAAGCCACUGGCUACCUUUCUGCAGAGAGAACAACAUAGUGGAACGCUGCCCUGAAGCUUACUUUGAAACGGAUCAUUCUCGGUUACCUGAAGCUGACAAGAUCAAGGUAAUAUUUCAAUUUUGCUUAAUUAUUAACUAUAAAUAUGUUUAGCUAAAUCAAUAUGUAUGGGAGUAAUAUCCUCUUAUCAAGUUUAUAUUGUCACAUAAAUAAGUAUAGUAUAGUGCCGAAUUAUGUCGUGUGAUGAGAGAAGAUCAUAUAAUACUUAUGUUAUUAGAUUACGAAUACUGAUUCUUCGUUAGGGUAUUACAUAGAAAGGAGUUUAUAUUUUUGCUCAAAUUGAAAAGGGGACCUUCUUAAUCUUUAGAAACGCCCCUACCAAAAUUUCAUGUAUUCAGUAACACAAAAGGUUGUAUUAAGCAAGAAACAAAUAAACAUGGGAUCUUGCUAUAAAGAAACGACAACACACAGAAACGUGACGUCGGCUGCAAUACUUAUUUGUCACCUUGUUUGGGUUCCUAUCCUCUUCAUAAUGCAUGAGCCAAUGACGGCACAAACAGCCAACACCAAGUUGUAUGGUAUCCUCUUCAUAAUGCAUGAGCCAAUGACGGCACAAACAGCCAACACCAAGUUGUAUGGGCAUCGCAUCACAUUCAGGACUGGCCUAAUUAACCCAGAUUAAGCUUAAUUAAUUAUGUUUUGUUCUGAAUCAUGGCACAGAUUAUGUACCAAGGCAUGAAAGUGAUGGUAAACAAUGUAAUUGAAAGAGGCAAAGUUGGCGACGAAUAUAUAACUGGAGAACGGGAAAGGCUAGCUUUUAGGAAAUGGACAGAUGGAUUUACCCGACAAGAUCAUCCCACAAUUGUUCAGGUAUAUUUUUCUAUCCCAACUGGUGGACCACUUUCUCCCACUAUUACGAUUUACAUGAUAAGAGUUUGAUUCUUUCUUCACUAUUACGAUCGACAUGAUAAGAGUUUGAUUCUUUCUUCCUUUCCUUUGAAUUUUAAACCAAAAGAACUUAUCUCAAUUUUUACAUAUAUACAUUCUACUUGGGACAAUAAUAAUCAUUCUUGUGAGGAACUAAUCACUAACAAUCUUGUAAACGAAAAAAAAAGGAACUAGAAAACCCAAUUAUGUCAUCUCCUAUUACAUAGUUUAAUAUGCUAUAGAUGUCGUGAUCUAUUGUCCUUUGGCAAUUCAAAAUCAUCCACUAAUUAACUGUCGUAAUUCAAAAUUAUUCAUAAUUUACUUACUGGUUAGCGUUUAAGCGCUCUAUAAACUUAUAUAUAUGUAUGUACUUAAAAGCAUAUAUGUACGUGGACAGGUUCUUUUGGACAAUAGCAAAGACAGAGAUAUCGCAGAGAAUUCAAUGCCAAACCUAAUAUACAUCUCUAGAGAGAAAAGCAUGACAUCACACCACAAUUUUAAAGCUGGUGCCCUUAAUGCUCUUGUAAGCUUCCAUACCUUUUCUUUUGGGCUCACAUAACCAUCUCAUUCUCAAAUAAUUAAUUAAUCAUCUUCAUUUCUUCACCAACUAAUUUAUAUUUUUCUGAUGGUGUGUUGUAACAAAAGCUUCGAGUCUCAGCCGCCAUGACCAAUGCUCCAAUAGUCUUAACCCUUGACUGUGACAUGUUCUCCAAUGAUCCCCAAACACCUCAUCGUGCCCUCUGUUACUUCUUAGACCCCAAAAUUCAAUCUGAACUAGGGUAUGUGCAGUUUCCUCAACGCUUUCGUGGGAUCGACAAGAGCGACAUGUAUGCAUCUGAAAACAGGCAUUUAUUUGAAAUUAAUCCACAGGGAAUGGAUGGGGUUUUAGGGCCAAAUUAUGUCGGAACUGGGUGUUUUUUCUCCAGAAGAGUUUUCUUUGGCGGCCCAUCGAAGUUUUUACCACCCGAAGACCCCCAACUUGGCCCAAACAAUGUGGUGGACAAGCCUAUUCAGAGUCUAGAGGUUCUAGAAUUGGCACACCAUGUUGCAGCUUGCAACUAUGAGAAAAACUCCAAUUGGGGAUCAAAGGUACACUCUUUCUUUUUGAGUGAGUUGUUAUUUCUGUUUCAAAAAAGUCAUCAUACACUUAGAUUCGAAAACUAAUGAAUUAAGUUAUUAAAUUGUGUAGAUUGGUGUGAGAUAUGGUUCGCUGGUGGAGGACUACUUUACUGGUUAUCGUUUGCAGUGUGAGGGGUGGAAGGCCAUAUUUUGCAAUCCAGAUAAGCCAGCAUUUUAUGGGGAUUCCCCAAUCAACCUUAUUGAUGUUUUAAAUCAAACCAAGCGAUGGGCCAUAGGCCUCCUUGAGGUGGCUUGCUCUAAGUAUAGCCCAAUUACAUUUGGCAUAAAAUCCAUGGGCCCGCUCAUGGGCCUUGCUUAUUGUCAGUAUGCAUUUUGGGCCAUUUGGUCAAUUCCAAUCACCACAUACACCUUCCUACCACAAUUAGCUCUUCUCAAUGGACUCACUAUAUUUCCAAAGGUAACCCUUUUCACAAUUUCACUUUCUAAAUAAUUGGUAAUUUAAUUUCCAUAAUCAAAGAGUCUGAUAUAUCAUAUCACAAUGUUAGAAUGUUAAUUUGACCUAAUUAAGAUUCAUAUUAAUAUUUUGACAACAUCUCAUAAGUGUGUAAUGUAGUAAUCUAAAUAUACAAGGGUCGGACAAGAUGUGCACUAAAAUUGAAGUACUUAUUGCAGGUUUCAGAGCCAUGGUUUCUCUUAUAUGUGUUUGUUUUCAUCGGAGCCUACGGUGAAGAUCUUCUAGAUUUUUACUCAACUGGAGUAACAUUCCAAAAGUGGUGGAGUGACCAAAGGAUAUGGCUGAUUAGGGGACUCUCAAGCUUCUUGUUUGGAUCCAUUGAGUUCUUCUUCAAGUCCUUUGGCAUUGCCACACUUGGGUUCAAUGUGACAAGCAAAGUCCUUGACGAGGACCAAAGCAAAAGGUACGAACAAGGAAGUAUGGAGUUUGGAGUCCCGUCACCUUUGUUUGUGCCCCUAACAACGGCUGCCAUUGUCAACUUGGCUGCCUUUGCUUGGGGGCAUUUAGAGAUUUUCAGAGGCAGCAAUGGCCUGGAGGGACUGUUGAUGCAGAUGUUCAUAGCUGGGUUUGGGAUAGCAAAUUGCAUACCAAUUUAUGAAGGCAUAAUUAGGAGUGAUAAAGGAAAAAUUCCUACAAAAAUUACUUUAGUUUCAACAUUUAUAGCGUUUGCUCUUCAUGCAGUAGCUUAUGUUACUCUUAGGAACUGAACCCCAAAAACUGUGUUAAGAGAAAGCGAUUUCGAAUAAAACGUUGUUAGAGCCCUACAGUUUUUUUUUAGUGAAUUUGGAGUCCCUAUGAGAGAUCCCAAUAGCUUGACGACAAAGUUGUGGACCAUUGUUUUGUUUAAUCAUUGGCCUCCAUGCUAAGUUUUCUAAGCUCCACUCAGUCUUCUUUGCAAAAGAUAGUUUAGUUAAUCUUAAUCGGACCACUUGGUCGCCGCCAUUGUGUUAGGUUUCCUUUUAGGUAUUUUGGGAAACUUCUUUGUACAUUAAUAUAAAUAAUGAAAAACUUAAUGCGUCAUUUUAAAUUUAAGGGGUUUGUAUAUAGACCUACAUAUAUUGAAUUGAAGGUACUACUAGAUCAUGAGGCUAACGAUCUUUUGCUAGAUUUAUGUUGUAAGGCGAAUGCUUAUAUUAACUGAACGAGUCUGAAAUAACCAGUGUCGACGUAACAUUGGAUGAAAAUUAUUUUAUCAGAACUCCAAUGUCCAUAAAAUAAACCCUCAUGAAAGCUACCUAAAAGCAAAAAGGAAAGCUAAUAAAUCAUAUUUGUAACUUAUGGAAUCAUCCAUAGAUGUAUUUUAAUUACUUAAGAAAAGGAGUUUUCAUAAACACAUGAUAUCUGAAUUAUAAAACUAAUAAUAUGAAAUAAUAAAGAAACUGAAAACACCAUUUUAUGAGAUAGAUAUGCUACAAGUAGAAAAGUGUAAACCGUACACAGGUGAAAAACACUUCAGAAGAGUCAAAAUGUUUUUUCAAAGGAGAAAAUUAAUAUGGUAGAUAGGUCAGCCGACCCUCCUGGGCGUUAGCUGGCGACGCCAAUGGAACUAACUACAUUUUAUGAGUAAAAUUUUUCUUCUAACUUGGAAGCAUCCAAAAUUCUCAAAGAUUUCAGACUAGUGAUGAUGUGUUUCACUAGUAAUUUGACAGAGAUGUUUGAGUCUCUUUCACAUUUUUUGAAGAAAAUCACAAGGAUUUACAAGAAUUAAGCUCUGAAUUGAAGGAACUAGCAAGUCUACUCCCACAACAGGUUACGAAAUUAAAGAUUUUGAUGCUAAUCCAAAAUUUGAAAAGAGGGCACGAAUUCAUAGAGUGUGUACCAGAGUAUUUUUGGUAGUUAAAUAGGAUCUAUUUAGUUAAUUUUACAUUUUAAUUAAAAUAUUAAAAUGUACGUAGAUCAUAGAGUGUGUACUCAAUUAAUUUUAAGAUCCGUUUAACAACACUCUACUUUUAUAUAUAUCUUAUGCAUAAUUUAUUGACAGUCAAAGAAAUCAGUCAUGUACUCCGACAAAAUAAAAAGUUUAAAAAAUCAGAUCAGUCAUUCGAAAGCAAGCGUCCAUUUUCUUUCUCCUUUUUAUUUUAUAUUGUCAGCAUUGACUAGUGUUUGUAUAUCCUUCAUCAAUCAUCAACCCAAAUAUUCUUUCUUGGGUGUAAUUUUUUUUCAGUGAAAAAUAGGUUCACGCAAAUUAAGUAUAAACUAACUCUCUGGUUUUGACAUUUAUAUAUAAAAAUAAAUUUUUUAACGAUGAAUUUUGAGAGUGGAUCUUGACCUUACGGCACUUAUCUUUACAAGUUAUUGAUCCACCAGUUUCUAUGGGUACGAUUGGUAGUUGGAGGUCGUUUUCCACAUUUAAUAAUUUUAUUAAAUUAAACAAUUCAUAGGUACUGCGACCUUCAUUCUAUAACUUAACUUUUAAUCCAAAAUGAUUCAUUAGAAAUUCAAAUGUCACACCAUGUCCUCCAACAGCCAUGGCCUCCCACUUCACACUCACAAGCCCUCUCGCCGAACCACCGCGAACCGCAUCUUUGCGGUGGUUUAUGGGUGUGCCACCUUAGCCCUACUUUCUCACCAUGCACUCUCUCUCCUCAACUCCACAACCCUCACCUCCUUCUUCAUAACCCUCACCUUCCUCAUCUCAGAUUC